CAGUUACUGCCUGUGUUCUCUAACCAGUUCCAAACUCUUUCAAAAGGUGUGUUCCAAGCUGACUGCAGAUUGGUGCUCCAUGUUUUAGGAAGUCACAGCAUAGGAGCGGAGCCACGGGUACUCCACGUGUUUACGGGGCUACGGGGCCAAGAACAGGCCCGCACCGGGAGGAUCAGCGUGCGAGGACACUCUCACCUUUCAGGCUCUGUGGCUUUGGUCCUCACACAGGGACGCCUCUGUCGUCAGGUGCGCGAGGGAAGGUCGAGGGACAGGCUGGCCAGCGAAGCAUCCCAUCCCAUCAGCCUUUCGCAGGCCGUGACUCUUGGCCAUGAUAACCUGGUCGGGAAAUGGCCUUCUGACUACACUCGCCUGUCCAUGUUGUGUGACCAGGAGUGUGAGGUGACACACCAGCGCUCGCCAGCAGUUCUCACAUGGUGCUCCCUUUGUCAACUACCAGGGCCGCUUCCAGGGCCAGGCCAGGAGCUGUCCUUGCUCAGCCUUCAUCCCAUGUUUGUGAUCCACUCGACCUCCUUGGCUCCUGAUGAGGGGUUUUUACCUCUGGUAGAUGAGUAUGCAGAGGGAAAGACAGUCCUUUGCCUCUACCUUUUUGUACUGCCCAAAAUGAUAAAUCUUCAGAAAUUUUGUUCAACAGCUUUUCUCCUGUGGGAAAACAUGGCAAGAAAUGAUAAACACUAGGCAGGCUGUUCUCACGUCCUAACCAAGGGCUCCCGAGUUCUGCAGGCCCCUCCUCUGUCCUGACUCUGCUUUGAUUUUCUCAGGACGAGUGGCCCCCUGCCCACAUCUCUUCCUAUUACCUCCGGAAGCCUGUGUGAGCCACCUGCCUCACACCCGUGUGACCCUUUAUCAAAGCCUGGUAUUGACGUACAGAGAGAACAAUGCCUAUCAGCCUUAUUCUAUGAAGGGCAGAAUCGCAGGAGAGGGCCUAGAUUCUGAGAGAACACAGAUCUAGUCAUCUGAACAUCGACUGAAGGCUUGCUGUAUGCCAGAGCAGGCUGGAGACAGCCAGACCAAUAGGACAAAGCCUGUUUUUCUCUCUAGACAUUUUAGAUUGGUGGAUAAUAAGUUAAAAACGAACCGUGUGCUGAGGUGGCAUAUUGGAGUUAGAUAGUCCAGAGAAUAGGAGCCUGGAACCAAGGAGGGCAGCAUAGCUCUGCUCAAAUACUGCAGAGUAGUGCUGGUGAGCACUGCUGCCGUGGGGUCAGGAGAGAACGAGACCCUGACAGAGAGAGAAGAUUCACUUUGACUCUGCUUCCUGGGGUAGAGGCCUUUCUGACAGUCACGUGGCCUGGCUGCAGCUGGUGCCAGUGUGGCAUGGCGGCCUUCAUCCCUGAAGGGCAGACGGGGCUCCCUGGGCCGACACAGGGAUGGCAGGGGCUGUGGACUUCAGUGAUCUACAACUUCAUGGUCUGGAUUUUCAGAACUAGCACCUGAACGGGAAACUUCCCCAGCUCAGAGGUAAUUUCUCACCUGUGAUUUCUACUCCAGUCCAUUUACUUUAACGUCUGCCCUCUGAAAGCAGCACUUUCAUUAAGGCAUGGAAAAUCAUUCCCAGGAAUGCGUUUUCAUCUUAACUCUGCCUGCCUGCCCUCCCUCUGGUAAGUAAUCUUGCUUCUUUCAUUGUUUUCUUUUCAACAAUCAGUCUGAAUUUCCACUCAGGCCUUUUGCAAUGUUCUCAUCAGUAUUUUUUGCAGCUGUUAGAUUACCCCCAAUCCCUAGGCUUCACUAGGCAGAAUAUUGAUAAAUAUUUUUAUUGCAAAGCUAUAUUCCCCAAACCUCAAUGACUUUGCAAAGCACAUUUAAUCAGAAGUGAGGACUUUGAGCUUUUAGUAAAUAUGAAUGUUUACUUUUUCUUGCUGCUACUUAGAAUUUUACUGAUUACACUUUGGACUGCAUAAUUGUGGAAUUAAUCUUGAGAAUGUCAGAAUACAUAUAUUUAAAAGUAAUUUUCUUAGGGAAAUAAUACAUAUCUCAGUGUUUUUCACUGUAAUUGGUAUUCAUGGUCCCUUCAUUUAUAGGUAUAAAGCUUGGCAGAGAUGGCCAAUAUUGGUGCCAUAUAUUAAUAAAAUGGAUUAAUUUUUCCAACACAACUUCCAUUCAAUUUCUCAUUAAACUAAGCAUUGUAAAUUCUGCUGUCAACAGAUACAAAUAACAUGAUUAUGCAAUAUUUGGAUUACUCAAAAUUCUCCCAGCUAGCAUAGUUAUCUGCCAUGCACACAAAUCCAUCCUGGAAGAGCACGUCAAGGUGCAGUUUUCCCAUCAGAUCGGAACCAGCCGCAGUCCAAAUCUUUGCUAUGCACAUGCUUUCAAAAGUAGAAUUUUGGGAUCACUCAACUGGGAGUUGCAUCCAGGGAGAGACUUAAAAGAUAAAUUUGAAUUUGCCAUAUUUCUGAAAAAGUUUUCACCUCUUCAAAGAGCAGCAUCAUUUGUCUAACACUGAUGUGAGAAAAUGAACAGAUGAAUGGAUGGGAAUGGCCAAGGGAAGAUUGGGUAAAGUGCAGUGAAAGGGCGUCUGCCAGAGGCUUCCUCAUGUUGCCCACCCUACUGCUGCAUGUGAAGGACCUGCUGUCCACAGAGAGGGCUGGCUCUGCGCCACGCCCGAGUCUGCUCCAGUUUGCCCAAUUUGACAGCUUCUUGACUUUGUUUUUCAAAUUUUCACUUCUGAAGAGUUCUCAUCAGGUAUUUUGCAAAAUAUCUCUCAACUGGCCUUGAGAGAUUUAACCAUCAUUUUACUUCUUGAGAAGAAUACCUCAGUGGUGAAGAAUUCUGCUCUUCACAUAUCAAGCAUCUGACAUAGUACUGAAGAUGGUGACUUCGAUGACUUAGUUAAAGAGGCAUCUACUGGGUUUUCAGUGGCUGUAACUGUGAAGUUACUCUUUUUCCUUCUGUGCUGUAAUCACUGGGCACAAGUCACCAGGUCCUGACUCCAUCAAAGAAACCCACUUACUGUGAUUUUCUUUUACUUUUCAGUGCAUGGUAAUAUUCUGAUGAUGGGUUCACUUUGGAAGCUGGCACAUGCAUUUGAGAUCUUAUCCAGGUUCAAUAGCAUUACUCCAUCCCCUUUUCUUCCCCUUUCUAGCUUGUACCAAUCCCUAACAGUUUAAGUCUUGGCUUCAUACCCAUUUAUUGAUUUAUUUGGUUUCUUCUACAAGAUAAAAAAAUGUAAUAUUUGCAUUUCUGAGCUAGACUAAUUUCAUUCCACAUGAUGGUCUUCAGUUCCAUCUGUUUUCCUGUAAAUUACAUGAUUUCGUUCUUCAUGGUUGAGUAAUGUUCCAGUAUGCAUAUGUACUACGUUUUCUAUAUCCAUUCAUCUGUUGACUGGCAUCUUGGCUGUUCCUAAAGCUUAACUACUGUGAACUGUGCUGCUAGAAACCUGGGUAUGCAUGUAUAGAUGCAACAUAGAUUCCUUAAUCCUUUCAGGAAUAUGCCCACGAGCAGUAUAGACGGGUCAAAUGGUGUUUCUCUGUUUAGUCUUUUGAGGAAUCUCCAUACUGAUUUUCAUGAUGUUUGUUCUGGUUUAUGUCUCCACCAACAAUGCAGGGGGAUUUUUUUCCUGCCAAUAUUCAUUGAUUUUGUUUGUUUGUUUUGUUUUUGUAUUCUUGAUGGUAGCUCUGCUGAAGAGUAAGGUGGAAUCUCAAUAUAGUUGCAUUUUGCUGAUAACUGAAGAUGUUGACACCUUUUUGAACAGUUCUUGGCCAGUUCACCUUCUUCUUUUGGGUAGUAUCUAUUCAGUUCACUUCCCUGCUUGUUGGUUGGAUUCUUUCUUUUAAGGAGAAUAAUUUAAAAAUUCUUUAUAUAUUCUAAAUAUUAAUCCUUCAUCAGAAGAGUAGCUAGAAAAGAUGUUCACCCAUUUGGUGGGCGGUCUCUUCAUUCUGCUAAUUGUUUCCUUUGCUGUGUAGCAUCUUUUUAAUUUGAGGUAGUCCCAUUUGUUGAUUUUUAAUAUUAUUUCCUGUGCUUUGGAGUCCUGUUCAGAAAGUCCGCUAGUACCAAAGGCUCAGUUCCAAGAUUUCUGGUCUUAUAGCUAGGUCUUUGGUCCAUUUUGAUCUGAUUUUCAUACAGGGUGACAGACUAAUCAGACUAAAGGGCUAAUCAGUAUUGUGUGCCUGAAGCAGCACCUUAGCUCGGAGAUGCUGAAACCCAGAGAUAAACAAACAGCAAACAAAUAAAUCAACCUUCUACUGAGAGUUGCUUAGAUUAACUGGGUCUGGAACUCAGUGUUUAUUCAUUUCUGUAAGAGUCCUGUGCGUUCAUAGAAUAAAUAUUUUAUGAUCCAUAGCAUAUGCUCAGACCACAAAUUAGAGUAACACAUGGAUGUUUAAACUAAAUGUAAAUAUAGUUAUGUACAAGGUUUUCCAAGAAUAAGCAUCCACAUGGUUUUUAAGGAGCAUAAAUGAUUUGUGUUUAUAUAUCUGAAAUGUCCUUUCCUCUUUAGAGCUGGAUUCUUAUUCACAGCCUCACUUUCCUGUCUUUCUUAGCGACAUUUGACAUAUUUUGACAUGCUUAGUUGUACUGUGGGAGCUGCCGUGUCUCCCAGACAAACACAGCCACGCUGUGUUCCACAGUGUAGGACCAGUGUCACUCAAGACUGGCCUGCUCGUGAGGGUCAGUAGAAGAAACAGUGCAGAGAGACAGGAUGAGCCACUCUGUGCGCCGGCUGGACUCAUCCUUCUCUGAGGACCAGAGGAGUGGUCUUAUCCGAGUCACAUGCCCAGUGUGAACUGGACCAUCAGUCCUUCCACUCCACCGUGUGCCAAGCAGAGGUGAAAAGCAGAUGCUUCUGCGUGAAGGCAGUUGUACCUCGGCUUGCUUUCCUCAAUUCUUGACCAGCUGCAGCAGCAUUUUCUAUGCACACCCUUCAAGCAAAACAGUUAUAAGAAUUUGAUCCUAAUGUGGCAUUUGCCAAUCUAAGCAACAGUUUCUUCCUAAUAGAUACAUCUUUAGAAAAAAGUAAUUUUCUGUACAAAGUAUGUUUUUUGCUACCAGAACCACUGCUCAGAGAUAAUUGUAUAAUAGUAGAGAAUAUAGAAUUUGAAAUUAAAUAGCCUGGUUUGGGUAGUGGCUUCUCACCUUGAAAGUGGCAUAGGAAUCACAAAUGAAACAAAACAGGAGAUGGUGUUUGUUGUGAGCCUGAAGAGAGGCACUAAUGAGCAGCUGGGGAAAGAGUGGUGUGCACAAAAAUAUUUUUACGACUACAGUGCGUCUCCCAAAUUUCAUGUAUUGGAAAGGACCAGCUGGGUGUUAAUGGUGUUUGAAGGUGAGAUUGCUGAGAGAUGCCUGCAUCGUGAAGCACUGCUCUCAUGCACAGAGCAACCUACUCAUGGGCUAAUGGACAAGUGUGGUAUUGAGGGUGUGGUCUGCUGUGAAAGGCGUGCUGUCUGUGCACCUGUGCUGUCCCACUACCUGGUGUCCUCCACCCAGCGCCGGCCCAGCAGGGAGGGUCUCCCCUGCCAGGCCUGACCACGUGCCGGCAUGGUGCUCUUGAACUUCCCAGGCUCAGAAUUGUGAGCUAAAUAAGCCGCUGGGUCCAUAAAUUACCCAGUCUCCGGGGUUCUGUUACAGCAACAGAAGAUAGACUGAGACAUGUAUGAGGUGUAAAAAUGCUAGUAAGGAAGAAAAAACAGGUUAGGACUAGAUGUGAGAAAGUUCUAGACAUUAUGUUAAGAAGAUUGGGACUCAGUGGUAGGGCAGAGGAAGUCUUAGGGUUUCCAAGUAUUUUCCGAGGAUGAUCCUGUCAGUAUCAAUGUGAGUGUUGGUCUGAGGAGACAAACAGGAGGCAGGGAGACUCACCCAAGGACUGGGUCCAUGGUCCACCUGGGGGUGUACGGAGGAAGGAACAUGGGGAGUGAAGGUCCCUGGAGCUCCCCGUGACUGCCCGAGACAGCGGAGUGGCUGCAGGUAGCAGGGCCAGGGCAGAGACGACAAGCGAAGAUUCUAAGGUCACUUCUUGGUCUUUGAUCAGGGAGAUCCGAACGGCAGUGUGAGUGGAAAGUAUGAUUAGAAAACAAGAAACCUUGCAGAUUUAGGGAGAAAGAUAAAUAAGAAAAGUUUGUUGUAAAUGAAGUGUUUGAAUUCUCCCCCUCUGUAAGUGGGAUGGGAAGGGUUCUCCCCUGCCCUUCAUUCCCAUCGGUGUCAGGAAGAGGUGGUCAGCAUUGUCUUGUGGACUUGCUGUGGGUCCCAGCCACAUUCUGUGAGAUCAUGUGGUUCUCGGGGGCUCUUUGGAGCUGCAAGAGCUUUCUGCGGAUGCUGGCUGACUUCAGAGUCAGCUUCUACAAGUGAGUUUUGAAGCCAGAGAUUUUUACACAUUGAAAAAGUGAGAGGAAAACAACUUCCCACUUUGGAGAAUGUAAUGAGGAAGCUGGAAUGUUUCCAGCUAACAGCAUUUUAUGGACUUGCUCAGAGUGAAUACAGAGUGAAGUGGUGGACAGCAAGCACGUGGAUCACGGGAGAGGCCUGUUCAGGGAGCCGACCAGUAUGAGCCCUGUUUGUUAUUCAGAAGGGCAAGGAUGGGCGUGGAACUAAAGCCGGUACAGACCUACUCUGGCUUCUGAGGUUUAUUUGAACAUUCACACAAAACAGUUACAGAACAUCUGCAUAUGUUGGACUCACUGCGGGUCCUAGGACAUGGAUACACACAGCUUGAAACUUUAGAGAAUUCCUACUUUAGUCGGGGAGGGAGGCUCCUCUACCUUGAGUUAGAGCACCAUUUGGCGACCUGGGACUACAGACAUGCAUGUGGACCUUGCUUCCUCUGCUGUCAUUCUAUGGGCAUCACUGUGUGAGAGGUGCUGAGCACUUCCAUUCCACGGGGCUUUGUCUGGGUUGUGGAACAAUCGAAAACACCUAGAGCAUUUGUUCACCUACAGUGUGUGUCUCUUUGCAUAUGAUCCUGCAAAGAAUGCUCUUACAUUUGAGUGUCUAAGACACAGAGAGGGUAGAUGGUGUUCCCCAGGUCACAACAGUGAGCAGGAAAACCUAGAGGUGGCAUAGUAUCUGGCUCCAAGGUCCAGCUACUGUACUUUUUCCCUUUAUUGCAUUGUUGGGAGACAUUGCCCAAGCGUUGUGCUCCCUGACCAUGCUGCAGGAGUGGGUCUAGGUCCCCAAAUGGGCGAAGAUCUGCUCAGACAUCUCCUGUGUACCCCCUUCUGUGCUCUCAUGUCCACACUGGUGGGCCACAGUUGUCUUCACACUUGGUCCUAAUUAGGCAGUGGACUUCCAUAACCUGCCAGGCCUGGUCUCCUCUGAGACUCCCAGGACCAUGUGUGGAAGCAAAUUCUGCCUGGAGGGGUCACUAGGUGAAGAGGACACUCAGAAACAGGCUCACAAACACCCUCCCUGCUUGGCUGACUGUUCGUAUCUUUUGGGAGGCUUGCUGUGAUAGAGCAGAACAUCUUUCCCUGUGUCCUGCCCUGAGAUGCUUCAUUGGCUCAGGUUUAGGAGGAACUGCUGGAAACUGAAGGAUCCAGGAUGCAUUCACUGCCAUAGUAAAAUUGAGGCCUCAGUAGUUUGGAUCCAAAGCCCAGCUCCUCUCUCUGAAUUUCCUCCUUCCACUGUGAUGGUUCCUCCUUGUCCUCACUGCUUCUCACAGACUCAUGAUCUCCUUCCCCAUCCAGGCCCAAUUCUGCUUUUCACAGACAUGUUUGCAGGCAUUUUACAGUGUGGUGCAGAGAAAGAGCAUCAGCUUGGAGGUGGACAGGGUUGGACUUAUGGUAUCAUUAGAUGAGAAAUUAAAUCUCCCUGAGCCUAAUUUCCUCUCCUGUAGAAUGGGGUCAUGAUACUUGUCUUAAGGAAUAUGGUGCAAUUUAAUAAGAUUAGGCUGGUAAAUUGCCUGGUGCAUUCUUGGGAUAUUACAAUUCAUCUGUAGAUGACAAUUUACCAUGAAUUAGUAAGCAAUUGAAUUAUUGUUCACAUUAUAUAUUCAGGAUUGCUUUUCAUCUAGGCAAGGAAUAUUUUGUUCUCAGGAGGGUUAUUUUCAAUGCCACAGAAAGGCCCGGGAACAAAUGAAGCAGAGUGACUUUGCCUCUGGCUCCUGAACUGCACAGGUAUUGAAGUACUCAGAUCCUCCUGUACCGAGUCCACACCCUGAAGUACGUGAUGCUCAGUUUCUGCAUAGCCUGAGGACCUUGCUGCUUUCUGGCUCCUUCUGUUUUCUUCUUUAGGUCCCUUGGCAGCAAGGUUGUGUCUUGCUCUCUGCUUCUCUUCUGAUAGGAAUCAGGAACAGAAAGAAGAACAGAGAGGGCCAGAAAAGUUGCUCUUUAAAUAUUUCAUUACAAUCAUGUGACUAUUAAAGAGUCUGACAUCUCGAGUUGAGUCAUUUGAAAGCAAAGGGACAAUUAACAAUCAGUUCAUUCUACUCUUCAUUCAUACAACAGCUUUUCUUGGGAGCCUUUUAGUGUCAAGCACUAACCAGACUGGGAUAGAGGUCUCCGUCUCUGAGAAGUUCAUAGUCUGUUGCAGGAGACAGAAAGGUAGAAAGGCAUUUGCAACACAUUCCAGUUAAAGUUAUGCUCAGCCUGCCGAUGAAUGUGGUGCAGACAACAUUCUAAAUUCUAGCUCAGACUUUCCUGGGGAGGGGAGACCCAUGGCAAGACGAAAGGGAUCUGGCCCUGCAGUCGCUGGCUGUACCAUUACAGGGACAGCACUGAAAAGCUCAUGGUGGCUGGAUGAGCGUGAGUGUCUUGGGUUCCAGUCUGUUGAGGAAUGACAAGCUCUGAAGCCAGAGAGUGAGCAAGGCUGAUUUCACCAGGUUGUGUGCCACCAGCAAGUUGUUUAUUCUGCAUAUGGUGGGAAGCUCUAGAUGGAUUUUAAUUAAUGUUUCCAUUCUCUCUUUGUUCCUUUCUUUACCAAAAGUGUUGAGCAAAUGUUUUAUAUAGAUCUGACUUAGAGGUUAAGGACAAGACUAUUUAGGCUGCUGGGGCUCGAAUUCUGUGUUUACUAAGUGCGAGCUCUGCAGUCAUGGAUUGGUUUUGUAAAUCCCUUAUUGCUUCAGUUUCCUCAGUUGUACAUUGGAAAUAACAGCAGUGCUCACUUCACAGAAUCACAAUUUUAGGUAAUAUACAGAAAGCAUUCAAAAUAGGCCUGGACUCAGGGUAAACAUUUACUUCUGCCAGGUCACACAUCUGAGAGGUUCUGGCGACCACACAGGGACAGGCUCCACCCUUGCCGUCCUUGAGCAGGGAUUCAUGGAAGGAGGGAGAUACUGCUGUGUGACUGAAGCAGGACUUGAAAAUGAAGCAAGUUUUCCCAAACUAAGCAAUAUGGCUGUGCUCUUUGUUCUAAUACUGAUAAAAUCAAUAACUUUGUGCCUGUGAGUGAAGUUUUAUAAUCUGUCCUUGUGACAUCCUGUUUUGACCAACCAAGGACACUGGGAUAUGUUAACUUGCAAAACAGUCACAGAUUGACAAAUUGCCUUUGUUCUGCUUGCCCACCUGCAAGUUACAUGCCACCAAGUAGACCAGCCCCUCGGCAGCAGGUAUAAAACUGGAGCUCUACCUUUGUCCUGGGCUCAGCCUUUGGACACAAGUCUACUGAGCCAGAGCACACCUAAAUCUGGAAUAAACCCUCCUGUUUCACCUGUUGGUCUCCCGGGGCUCUUAAAAUUCUUCAACAUAGCAGCCGUGCCAGUGCUAUGGGUUGUACACCAUGGUUAGGAGACACUUCAAGCUUACAUUUGAACAGAGAGAACUGCUCAAAUCUAAUCUCCUGUUGUUUUCAAAAGGAACAGGGAAGCUUUCAGAAAGAAGUGUUGUCUGUCUGGAACUGAGGUGAGUAUAAAUUAGCCAGAAAAAUAGGGCAGGAUAGAAGGCCAGGGGAAGUCAUGGUAAGGUGUGCACUUUGGAAUGCUCCUCUGGGAACAUGUGUGGGGAGCCCCAGAAGGAAGGAGUCCAUAUCAGGGAGUACCCUUCAGAGCCUCUUGUAUGGACUGGUAUGGCUCAUGGAGCAGAUGGUUAGAGGCUGUCAUCCCUCUUACACAGGUAAAAGAGACAAAUUCCAGUGGCUUCUCAUAGUUCUGUCAGGAACUAAGCCAGGAUUAGACUUGACCUAUCUUCAUUAUUGCCCAUUGAGUCUUACAUCCCCUAGAGGGAUUCCAGCUCUAUGCGUUUCAUAGCAGAAUCGCUCAGACUCACACAAUCAUGGUAACCAUGCACAGGAAGACCUGCCACUUGAAUAUCUUUCCUUUGCAUGCUCUCGGCAUGUGCUCUAUGCACAGUCUGUUCCACAGACCACCUCAGAUAGCUCAGGCUAUGUUGAAAGUCCAACAAAGGAGAAGAGGAUACACUGGAGGUCAGAGGACUCCAUGUUUGGACAGGGAGUGUGAUUUCAUGUCUUGGAAUGUUUCUUUUCUUAUUAACCAAGUUUUCUACUUACCUUUCUUAGCAUCAUCUCUGGUGUCAAGGUUUGGGUUGUUGGCUGGGCUCCAAGGAUGAUGUGAUGCAGUGGUCAAUAAAAACCACGCAUGUCACUCUGAAUGUGCAUUAAAGGGAGAAAGGUAAAGAUGAAUGCACCCAUCUGCAGAUGAGCACAGCUGUCCUGUCAGCCUCGGAGGCCCUGGAGCAGGCUUUCUGUGGUGCUUCUACUGAACCAUCUGCCUGCUUGCAGGAUGAUCCUGCUCCACACAUGCACAGGAGAUGCCUCAGGGGAGGCCCCGCUGUGGGUGAGGGCCAGUGGGCAGCUGGGGCAGUGGGCCACCAUGCCGUCCGGCCAGUCUCCCACCGACCAUCAGGAUCAAUCUGUCAGUGCCAGCAGCUCUGAUGCUCUUGCGGCACUGAAUGGCAUCGUGUUAGGGACAGGUCUCCUUACUCAUUUGAAACCAGCAUGUGGUGUCUCUGGCUUCGGGUCAGCAGAUCAGAGCUUUUGAAAAUUACUAUUAUAUUGCUCUCCAUAUACAAAUGCUAUGGUUACCAUUGUCUAUUGCUCUGUCUCAUAACUGUCAGCUGUUAUCUCUCGAGUGGAGGUGGGUACUUAUCUUAGAAAUCUUUCCUAUCUGGUGGUGAUGGCAGAACCAGGCUCACUGCAAGGUACAGAAGGGCCCGGCUUGAGAUUCAAGAGAUGAGCUUUAAUUUCCAUGUCUGACAGAGCCCUUCAAUAAGCAUUUAUUUAUUGCAGACCUACUAUGUGCCAGGCAACCUGUUCAUCUCCAAAUGGGGAUACAGAUGUGAAUAUCAAAGACUCCUGUCCUCAGGGAGGUCACAGUUUAGUGGAAGAAGCAGACAGGUGAAGAGCUACCGAAGUAAAAGUAGUGAUGGAGCCCAGGGUUCCGUGGAAACCUGAAGAGCAGCCCUGUACUCAGAGUGGAGGGAAGGGAGUGGGAAUUUCUGCAGGAGAUGCUGCACAGCCCAGGCUUGGAGAAAGAGUAAGCUUUCCUGGGCAAAGCAGGUAUGAGGGUGAUACAGAGGAGGCAAUGUAGUCCAAAGUGGGAGAAUAGGGGAAAACCCAGGAAAGUCGGAAAGGAGCUCAGCAUUUCUGAAGACCAGAGUGUAUACAGUGUGGUGAAAGAGGAGGCCAAAGAAGAGGGAGUGCAUUUGCCACACUUGAAGGCUGGGGCUUUAUCGGGAAGGCAGCUGAGAUCACAUAGUCAUGUGAAACAGGAGUGGGAUGAUUGCAUCUGCAUUUAGGAACACCCCUGGAACUGAUCAGAGGCCCACUGUCGUAGAGGCAUGAAGGGCAUCUGGAAUGUUAUCAUCUUUGGGCCUGGACUUCAGCAGAAACAGAAAGAUAAAGUCGAUUAUAAUGAUUCAAAGGCAUUUAGUCUUAGUUGAUAGAACCAAUGGGAUUCCAUGGCUUAUUAUACAAAAAGGGUAAGGAAAAGGAGAAAAUGAGGACAUACAGGUCUCCAAAGACUUGAUCUGCAGCAAGGUGAGGAGAGUGGUUCUGAGUAAAACUCAGCAGAGUUUGAGUAGAAAACAGAAGAGGAUCAGAGGAGGAAAGGAGUGGAGAAGCUUGUGGAGGAAGAGGAAGAAGGGAAUGAGUAGGUUAGGCCUGGAGAAAACAUGAGUUGCAUUUUGUACAUUCUUACGGUACAGAUCCAAAGUGACCCUCAAAGCCUCAUGAGUUUGGAAAGUGGAUGGAUCACAGGAGCACUGUAUUCACCAGCAGAUUCACCCAUUAACAGACAUGAAAACAGUUUGUGAUGUAUUCAGAGUGGUUCAACAACGCUCCUUGUGAGAUAAUAAAACUCUCCAUUGACAGCACUGUUCAUGCAAAGGCUGAUAACUAUCUACAGUGGAAAUGGGAGAACAGUGACCUCUGAACUUUGAUUGACCCAAACUACUUGCGAUCUUCAAUGAAAAGUGCAAAUUCCAAAACACCACUCUUCAGACUUUGGGCCAAUAACCUCAGAAAACUGCCACUGGGCUAUGUCUAAAGAAGCCCUGGAAGCAGGACUCCCACCAAGGCCCCUCACUACAGAGCUACCCAUGGACAUCACCAGCCAGGAGAGCUGCAGUCAUGAGAACUCUAAACCAAGAGAGAACCAGAGAAAGCAUGAUGGAUCAUCAGGAGUGAAUUUGAGGUCACCAACUGUAUGAAUAGGAAAAGCCCUGGCCAUCUGAUGGAUGUAUAAUGAAAUGCGGAUUCUAUAUGCUCUGGAUGAAAUGAUCCGAGAUGCUGAGGGGUACUUCAACUCAUAACCAUCUCAAAUGGGAUGUGGGGGGUGAGCAGGGUGGUCAGCACUGCCGAACAGAGUGGACACGGGCUCCCUACGGGGCCUGCGGUGGAGUUCUGCUGACUCAGACACGGACGAAGAUCUUCAGGGUAUGCACACGUAGUGCCACCUCAUUAUGUUUCAUGCGCCAGGAUUUUAUUUUUUAUUGUCCUUUUAGUUGUAGUGUAUGUGCAGUUUUUCUUUAUUAUAGUAUAUGUUCUUUGCAGUCAUAAUGACACGGUUAAUUUUAUGUAUCCUUCACAAUUUUAAUAUAAUCAUAUCAAGACUCAAUGGCUUAUUUAAAAUGGAUGAAUCAUUCUUGCUUUGUAGAGUAUUUUUGUGGUUCAAAUGACCCAGAAGUGGGGAACAGCUCAAUGCUCAGGAGUUCAGAGAGUAAACUUACUAUUGUUGUGCUAUUAGCAGCUAAGUGUUGAGAGCUUAUCCUCUUCAUUUAGUCCUCCUUAAUUAGCUAACUAGUUAGUAGAAAUUAGGGAGGCAUAAACCCAAAGCACACGCCUCCAUUAGCAAUGUCCAUGUUUUCUCCCUACUCGCUACUACUGUAAGCACUGGUGGUAUCUCACCUGCAAGGCCUUUUUUAAAACCUCCUCCCAAAGAGAUUUUUCCCCUUGGUUUGAAUCACUGGAAUAUUUGAGCAUUCUGAUAUUAUUUUUUGAUGAGUAUGAUGUUUCUGAAGUGGAUGAAGCUUCCUUUAAAGCAGUUUAAGUAUGGCUCUUCCACCUUACCCUACCCUCCUGGGCAGUAAGACCACACAAUGGUCUUUUGAUUAUCAGUUGAUAUUCCUUGGAAUCUUUUCACUGAAUUGCUUCUCCUCUAUCUAUUUGAAACUUAGUGUGUACUAAAAUGACUGCCAUGGAAAGCAGCAGGUUUAGUAGUGGAAUACUGUAACUCACUUCAUUUCGACUUUGACUCAUCCAUCAUAAAACAUUUAUUCCUAUCUUUCUCUAGUAUUUUGAAACAAUGGCAACAGUAUGUUAUUGCCCAGUCUUGAGUCUCACAGGAGAAUGUCUUGCUCAUUUAAGAUAAUGAAAUUCUGCACAGGGACUGGUCCAGUCUCAGGAAAAAUGAUCUAUGUUUCACCUGCUCAGUUUUUGUUUGAUAGCAGAACAUUCAACUAUCCAGUACUCUCCCAACAGCUAGAAAAUGCAGAGAGGGCAUUUUCCACUAACUCUUCCCUGGGGCCAGUAUCUGUAAGUAGAAAGGAGAAAGUAAAAGAUACGCCAGGUUCUAAUGGUACGGUUUCCCCUUACAGAAGUCUGAAUAAGGACUGUGGCAUAUAGAUGAUUCAGCUGAUGUU
This is a non-coding RNA of Heterocephalus glaber (naked mole-rat), 13973 nucleotides long. Lineage: Eukaryota; Metazoa; Chordata; Mammalia; Rodentia; Bathyergidae. The record is from RefSeq and is a predicted model, not a curated record.